Molecule: ribosomal RNA, 467 nt
Filed under: uncultured bacterium
Lineage: Bacteria
Description: partial 16S ribosomal RNA
Rfam family: Bacterial small subunit ribosomal RNA
Source: RNAcentral
GAUGAACGCUGACAGAAUGCUUAACACAUGCAAGUCAACUUGAAUUUGGGUUUUUAACUUAGGUUUGGGUGGCGGACGGGUGAGUAACGCGUAAAGAACUUGCCUCACAGCUAGGGACAACAUUUGGAAACGAAUGCUAAUACCUAAUAUUAUGAUAAUAGGGCAUCCUAUAAUUAUGAAAGCUUUAAGCGCUGUGAGAGAGCUUUGCGUCCCAUUAGCUAGUUGGAGAGGUAACGGCUCACCAAGGCGAUGAUGGGUAGCCGGCCUGAGAGGGUGAUCGGCCACAAGGGGACUGAGACACGGCCCUUACUCCUACGGGAGGCAGCAGUGGGGAAUAUUGGACAAUGGACCGAGAGUCUGAUCCAGCAAUUCUGUGUGCACGAUGAAGUUUUUCGGAAUGUAAAGUGCUUUCAGUUGGGAAGAAACAAAUGACGGUACCAACAGAAGAAGUGACGGCUAAAUACGUG